AGAUUGAAUAUACAUUUGCAGAAUUUAUGUCAAAGAUGAUGUCGAAACUAAAUGCUCUCAGACUUCUCUCCCCUACACAGGAACACUGUGAGGCUGAAUUCAAGGUUGGACCAGGAGAUUGUGUCCUAAACAACAGCCUCAAAAGAAAACACUGCCAUUCGCCCAAGUGGGACAGACCAUAACAAGUGCUACUGUCAACACCUACCGCAGUCAAAAUAGCUGAUCAUCUUUCUUUGCUGUUUCCAGGGUGUGCCCACUGUGACAGAAGACCAGCCUACAAAGGGGUUUAGAUGUUUAGAUUCUAUUCGUCUCAACCGCUGGCAGAAGAUACAGUACUGUCCUGGGGGAUUAGAACCUAGUGGAAAUUGUGGAGUAGAAGGUCUCUUCCUCUGCAAGGUCAUGGGAGGUUACGGAAAGCGGGCCAAAGGAUGUGAGGGACUCUUAGCACUCUUAACGACUGUAGGAUUUUACAUUGUUGGUCUAUUAACAUACUUAUGGAUGAGACAGCAAACACAGGCCCUAGACGAAUAUCCACGAUGGGACCUGGCUAAAGAUCAUCCCUGGUGGAAAUGGGUAAAUCAGACCGUCAGAACGCAAGUACCACAAGAUUACCCCCAGGUCCAAGACUCAUCAGUACCUGAGGAACGUUCCAAUGCAUUCCGUACGAGGGAGGAGAGAAGCAGGGGAUGACAGCGGGAUCUGGUUCGAUGGCCUGGGCAUUCCCUGAUUGCAUUCCAGACCACUACAAAGCCUUGAACCCAGCAGCCAAUGGCCUGGCAUCUACCCUCUGCCCCUGGUGCGUCAUCGGAGCACACACAGAUUGGAUUAACUUCCUUUACUACGCCGAGAUGAAGUUCCAAAACCUGACCACAGACGGGACUACAAAAGAUCAGAGAAGAACUACACGCCAACUCCAGGUUAACGCGGCAAAACACAACUGCGAAAUUCUCACUGCCAUGAAUGGAGGCAUUCGUGUCAUGCUUGGUACUGACCAAUGUUGCACAUAUGUCCCUGAUAACACCCGAGAUGGGAAAGACUUAGAUCUGAUCCUACAAAAGAUGCAAAAAGUUGUCCAACAGAAUGCCUGAUGGGGAACAGGGCCUUCAAGGACACAGCAAAGAAACCUUGUUUGAAUGUUAUCUGAAGCCUAGGCGAGCUAAUGACACACACAGUCGACACCCACUAUGUUGGCCUACAAAUGCAAAGUAUUCAAAUGUGUGAUGAGAAAUAUGAUGACAUUUUAAAUGAUUGACUUAUGAUGAUAUGGAGUGAUGCUCAGUAAUGAUCUCUGUUCCGAAAAUCCAUGUGAUGAAGCUCAGAGUGAUGAUUUUGAAGUUAUCCAUUGAAAUUGAUAAUUGACGAAUUAAGAAAGAUGAUUUGUGAUUUUAAUUGUGAUUUUGAUUGUGAUUCUGAAUUAUCCAUUGAAACGGAUAAAAGGAGGGACUGAUGGAGAUAAUUUCCAAACACUGUUAAUGACUUAAGAAUAUAAUAAUCAAGUGCC
Molecule: long non-coding RNA, 1501 nt
Organism: Clupea harengus (Atlantic herring)
Lineage: Eukaryota; Metazoa; Chordata; Actinopteri; Clupeiformes; Clupeidae
Source: Ensembl